Molecule: ribosomal RNA, 444 nt
Filed under: uncultured bacterium
Lineage: Bacteria
Description: partial 16S ribosomal RNA
Rfam family: Bacterial small subunit ribosomal RNA
Source: RNAcentral
CCAGACUCCUACGGGAGGCAGCAGUGGGGAAUAUUGCACAAUGGGGGAAACCCUGAUGCAGCGACGCCGCGUGAGCGAUGAAGUAUUUCGGUAUGUAAAGCUCUAUCAGUAGGGAAGAAAAUGACGGUACCUGACUAAGAAGCCCCGGCUAACUACGUGCCAGCAGCCGCGGUAAUACGUAGGGGGCAAGCGUUAUCCGGAUUUACUGGGUGUAAAGGGAGCGUAGACGGCGGUGCAAGCCAGAUGUGAAAGCCCGGGGCUCAACCCCGGGACUGCAUUUGGAACUGUGCUGCUAGAGUGUCGGAGAGGCAGGCGGAAUUCCUGGUGUAGCGGUGAAAUGCGUAGAUAUCAGGAGGAACACCGGUGGCGAAGGCGGCCUGCUGGACUGCGACUGACGUUGAGGCCCGAAAGCGUGGGGAGCAAACAGGAUUAGAUACCCCGGUA